RNAcentral lists this ribosomal RNA (466 nucleotides) under uncultured bacterium. RNAcentral describes it as "partial 16S ribosomal RNA". It matches the Rfam family "Bacterial small subunit ribosomal RNA", at positions 28 to 507 of the family's 1533-position model. The record is from RNAcentral.
GAUGAACGCUGGCGGCGUGCUUAACACAUGCAAGUCGAACGAUGAAGCCCAGCUUGCUGGGUGGAUUAGUGGCGAACGGGUGAGUAACACGUGAGUAACCUGCCCUUAACUCUGGGAUAAGCCUGGGAAACUGGGUCUAAUACCGGAUAGGAGCGUCCACCGCAUGGUGGGUGUUGGAAAGAUUUAUCGGUUUUGGAUGGACUCGCGGCCUAUCAGCUUGUUGGUGAGGUAAUGGCUCACCAAGGCGACGACGGGUAGCCGGCCUGAGAGGGUGACCGGCCACACUGGGACUGAGACACGGCGCAGACGCGUACUGGAGGCAGCGGUGGGGAAUAUUGCACAAUGGGCGCAAGCCUGAUGCAGCGACGCCGCGUUAGGGAUGACGGCCUGCGGGGUGUAAACCUCUUUCAGUAGGGAAGAAGCGAUAGUGACGGUACCUGCAGAAGAAGCACCGGCUAACUACGUG